RNAcentral lists this ribosomal RNA (497 nucleotides) under uncultured bacterium. RNAcentral describes it as "partial 16S ribosomal RNA". It matches the Rfam family "Bacterial small subunit ribosomal RNA", at positions 28 to 507 of the family's 1533-position model. The record is from RNAcentral.
GAUGAACGCUGGCGGCGUGCCUAAUACAUGCAAGUCGAGCGAACAGAUGAGGAGCUUGCUCCUCUGACGUUAGCGGCGGACGGGUGAGUAACACGUGGAUAACCUACCUAUAAGACUGGGAUAACUUCGGGAAACCGGAGCUAAUACCGGAUAAUAUAUUUAACCGCAUGGUUCAAUAGUGAAAGACGGUUUUGCUGUCACUUAUAGAUGGAUCCGCGCCGUAUUAGCUAGUUGGUAAGGUAACGGCUUACCAAGGCAACGAUGCGUAGCCGACCUGAGAGGGGGAUCGGCGGCACUGGAAGUGGAACAGGGUCCAGACUACUAAGGGAGGGAGCAGUAGGGAAUGGGACGCAAUGGGCGGAAGCCUGACGGAGCAACGGCGAGUGAGUGAUGAAGGUCUUCGGAUCGUAAAAAUCUGUUAUCAGGGAAGAACAAAUGUGUAAGUAACUAUGCACGUCUUGACGGUACCUAAUCAGAAAGCCACGGCUAACUACGUG